UCAUAACAAAUGAAUCGGGGGUAGCCUUACGUACCUAAGUAGCUUCCUCAUACUAAAAAGUCGUGCAGAAGAAGAUAACAAUAUAAUUUUUUCAAUAUGUCAAUUCCAGAUUUUCUGUGUUUCUUAAAUGUAUAGUAACAUGGCAGCAGUUUUCAUCUUUAGGGUUCCGUACCCAAACGGGACCCUAUUACUAAGACUCCGCUGUCCGUCCGUCCGUCCGUCUGUCACCAGGCUGUAUCUCAUGAACCGUGAUAGACAGUUGAAAUUUUCAAAGAUGACGUAUUUCUAUUGCCACUAUAACAACAUAGUAUUGUGUUCCUGCCGGUGAGUAAGGUUGCCAGAGCUCAACGAGGGGAAGGAGGGUUGUUAGGCUCGGCAACGCGCAUAUAAUUCCUCUGGAGUUGCAGGCGUACAUAGGCUAUGGAGACUGCUUACCAUCAGGUGGGCCGUAUGCUUGUUUGCCACCAACGUAGUAUAUAAAAAACCAAAUACUAAAAAAAAUACGGAAUCACGUUGGGCGAGUCCGACUCGCCCUUGUCCGGUUUUUGUAUUUAUUCGUAAGCUUGCAUUAAUUGCCAUGGCACUUUAGGCUUAGCUUGUAAGUACAGUUGAGGAAAUUGAUUCUUUAGCAGUUAACGUGUCACGUUACAAUGGACAGCUCUUACCAUAAGUAUGUACAGCCAAAUUUACUUGAACAGCAAGUUGCUAAAGAAUCAAUUUCCGCGACCGUACUAAUAGGAUAUUCUUUGCUAAUAGGUCUAAUAAAUAAUAUGUUGCGGACUCUUUUCUUAAACCUUUUUACUUGUAUACUUUUUACGACAUUUGACGCUGUCAUGUUAUUCAAAUAGUAAAAUAAAUCUGACAAGAGAGAAAAUUGUGAUCUUAUUUACAGAAAGAUACUUAAUGUAUGAAAAAAUAAGCAAAAAUAAGAAUGAAUGUUUUACGACACAAAAAGCGACAUCUGGGAUGGCUCAAGAGUAACACUGGUGUGAGCGGCUCAGGGGUAUCGAGAGGCGUGCACCGCUUUCAACCCAGUGGCUGUAACAGCCACUGUGCCAACUCGCGUCUUGCACUUCCUCCCUUGGAACUUAUAGCUCUAACGACUCCACCCUGGCCGGCCGGCCAAGGCAACCCAGAAGCAGAUAAUCCUGUCCCACCCACCCUCCUUCGAAUGACAGAACUCCCUAGGAACACUCGGGUACGUGAGAUCGUUACUCCCCAACUGCAUGCCACAAGCUGCCCGAAGUUGACUGAUUGCACUGGUAAAAUCAGCGGGCCAUAGAUUAUUAGUUUGCAGUUCCUAAAAGCCAUUGCUGAAAGGAUGUGUAGCUGUCAUAUACAAAAACAAUGGGUAGACAGUCUCAAAGGGUAUGUCUUAUGAUAAAUAGUUUCAUGCCGCAGUAAAAUAAUGUGAUUUGUAGUAUUUAGUUUUAAAAUAUAUUUUUAUAAUGUGUAUGCUAAUCUUAAGGUAUUUAUCUAUGGGCCGCUAGUUGCCUGAAAUAAAUUAUGAUAGAUACACGGAUAGAUGGGGUGUUCUAAGAGAAAGUCGCUUUGAAAAUGCUUUUGUCUUGUAUGGCAGCUUCCUCAAUCAACUGCGUUGAUCGGCUAGAUAAUAAGUUUUUAUAAAAGAAACAUGUCUUUAUGGGACCCAUAACAUUGAAGCAAUACAAAAGUUAGAAAUGAGAGUCAAAUCUGACAAUCGUUAUCUACACACGAAACGCCCCUUAUUAAAUGAUACUUGAUCGUGACGUCAUGAUUAAGUUUAAUGCGUUUUAUUUGCAUUGCAUUUACAAAAAGAGGAGCUUUCGAGUUUCGAGGAUUAUGUUUUUAAAAUACGUGUAUAUUACGUAGGUUUGUUUGUAUUGAUUUUUUGAUUCUAGAAAUAAUAGUUGUAUAACCUUAAUAUGUAUGUAGGUAAGUACUAAGUACAUAAAAGGUACCGAAAUAGGUCAGAAGAGCAGUAAAUUCAAUAUUACUAUACAGUAUAUCCAAAAAGAGCGCUAUGAUAAGUAAAAGUUCCUUUUUAGGGUUCAGUACCCAAAGGGUAAAACGGGAGCCUAUUACUAAGACUCCGCUGUCAGUACGUCUAUCCGUCUGUCACCAGGCUGUAUCUCGUAAACCGUGAUAGUUAGUUGAUAUUUUCACAGUUGCCGCAAUAACAACAAAUACUAAAAACUACGGUACCCUAGAUGGGCGAGUCCGGCUCGCAUUUGUCUGGUAUUAUUUAAAUAUAGGAGGCAAAUGAGGAAAGCCCAUGAACAGAUGUCGUACCUAUCAUAGGAUAAGUAGAUAUAUAUGUACAAAGAAACAGCGGUAUGUUAAGUAGAUUUUUUUAUAUAGUAGGCAAACGAGCAGAGCCCAUGAACAGAGGUCAUACUCUUAUCAUAGAAUCGAUCAUCGAUCGAUCGAUCAUCGAUCAUAAGUAGAAUCGAUUUUUUUUAAGUAGGAGCUAAACGAGCAGAACUCAUGAACAGAGUUCGUAUCAUAAGAUUUGUAGAUAUGUACAUAGAAAUGGCGCUAUGUUAAGUAGAAGUAUUUUUUUAAAUAUAGGAGGCAAAUGAGCAGAGCCCAUGAACAGAGGUUGUAUCAUAGGAUAAGUAGAUAUGUACAAAGAAAUGGCACUAUGUUAAGUAGUUUUUUUUUUUUUUAAUAUAUGAGGCAAACGAGCAGUGCCCACGAACAGAGCUCGUAUCAGAAGAUUUAUAGAGAUGUACAAAGGAAUGGCGUUAUGUUAAGUAGAAGUAUUUUUUUUUAAAUAUAGGAGGCAAACGAGCAGAACCCAUGAACAGAGCUCAUAUCAUAAGAUUUGUAGAGAUGUACAAAGGAAUGGCGUUAUGUUAAGUAGAAGUAUUUUUUUAAAUACAGGAGGCAAACGAGCAGAGCCCAUGAACAGAGGUCGUAUCUUAAGAUUUGUAGAUAUGUACAUAGAAAUGGCGCUAUGUUAAGUAGAAGUAUUUUUUUAAAUAUAGGAGGCAAAUGAGCAGAGCCCAUGAACAGAGGUUGUAUCAUAGGAUAAGUAGAUAUGUACAAAGAAAUGGCACUAUGUUAAGUAGUUUUUUUUUUUUUUAAUAUAUGAGGCAAACGAGCAGUGCCCACGAACAGAGCUCGUAUCAGAAGAUUUAUAGAGAUGUACAAAGGAAUGGCGUUAUGUUAAGUAGAAGUAUUUUUUUUUAAAUAUAGGAGGCAAACGAGCAGAACCCAUGAACAGAGCUCAUAUCAUAAGAUUUGUAGAGAUGUACAAAGGAAUGGCGUUAUGUUAAGUAGAAGUAUUUUUUUAAAUACAGGAGGCAAACGAGCAGAGCCCAUGAACAGAGGUCGUAUCAUAAGAUUUGUAGAUAUGUACAUAGAAAUGGCGCUAUGUUAAGUAGAAGUAUUUUUUUAAAUAUAGGAGGCAAAUGAGCAGAGCCCAUGAACAGAGGUUGUAUCAUAGGAUAAGUAGAUAUGUACAAAGAAAUGGCACUAUGUUAAGUAGUUUUUUUUUUUUUUAAUAUAUGAGGCAAACGAGCAGUGCCCACGAACAGAGCUCGUAUCAGAAGAUUUAUAGAGAUGUACAAAGGAAUGGCGUUAUGUUAAGUAGAAGUAUUUUUUUUUAAAUAUAGGAGGCAAACGAGCAGAACCCAUGAACAGAGCUCAUAUCAUAAGAUUUGUAGAGAUGUACAAAGGAAUGGCGUUAUGUUAAGUAGAAGUAUUUUUUUAAAUACAGGAGGCAAACGAGCAGAGCCCAUGAACAGAGGUCGUAUCUUAAGAUUUGUAGAUAUGUACAUAGAAAUGGCGCUAUGUUAAGUAGAAGUAUUUUUUUAAAUAUAGGAGGCAAAUGAGCAGAGCCCAUGAACAGAGGUUGUAUCAUAGGAUAAGUAGAUAUGUACAAAGAAAUGGCACUAUGUUAAGUAGAAUUUAUUUUUUUUAAUAUAGGAGGCAAACGAGCAGAGCCCACGAACAGAGCUCGUAUCAGAAGAUUUAUAGAGAUGUACAAAGGAAUGGCGUUAUGUUAAGUAGAAGUAUUUUUUUUAAUAUAGGAGGCAAACGAGCAGAACCCAUGAACAGAGCUCAUAUCAUAAGAUUUGUAGAGAUGUACAAAGGAAUGGCGUUAUGUUAAGUAGAAGUAUUUUUUUAAAUACAGGAGGCAAACGAGCAGAGCCUAUGAACAGAGGUCGUAUCAUAAGAUUUGUAGAUAUGUACAUAGAAAUGGCGCUAUGUUAAGUAGAAGUAUAUUUUUAAAUAUAGGAGGCAAAUGAGCAGAGCCCAUGAACAGAGGUUGUAUCAUAGGAUAAGUAGAUAUGUACAAAGAAAUGGCACUAUGUUAAGUAGAUUUUUUUUUUUAAUAUAUGAGGCAAACGAGCAGUGCCCACGAACAGAGCUCGUAUCAGAAGAUUUAUAGAGAUGUACAAAGGAAUGGCGUUAUGUUAAGUAGAAGUAUUUUUUUUUAAAUAUAGGAGGCAAACGAGCAGAACCCAUGAACAGAGCUCAUAUCAUAAGAUUUGUAGAGAUGUACAAAGGAAUGGCGUUAUGUUAAGUAGAAGUAUUUUUUAAAAUACAGGAGGCAAACGAGCAGAGCCCAUGAACAGAGGUCGUAUCUUAAGAUUUGUAGAUAUGUACAUAGAAAUGGCGCUAUGUUAAGUAGAAGUAUUUUUUUAAAUAUAGGAGGCAUAAGAUCAGAGCCCAUGAACAGAGCUCGUAUCAGAAGAUUUAUAGAGAUGUACAAAGGAAUGGCGUUAUGUUAAGUAGAAGUAUUUUUUUAAAUAUAGGAGGCAAACGAGCAGAACCCAUGAACAGAGCUCAUAUCAUAAGAUUUGUAGAGAUGUACAAAGGAAUGUAUGACCUAUUAUUCACCUCGUAAAUUAUUUGCAGGUGACUAAAUAAACACCCUGUAUAUAUUUGUUGUUGUAUCAACAAAUCAAGCAUUUACAUUAAAAAAGUGAGUGACAUUUAAUUAAGUGGAACUGCUGAUGAAGACCAGACGGAACACCUCAACUACGCGUAUUUCACGUUUGGCGAUAUCUUCUUCGUUGAGAUUGUUCUGCAAGUUAUUUUUUAAGCUUCAUUUUAGUCAAGAUCUAUUUCUGAUAAUGGAUCCCAGGAAUAAUGGAUGAAACUCUUCAAAUAUUUUACAUAUAGUAUAUUUUUAUAUUUGCAUUUAAACAGUGCUAUUUGGUGAAACGUGGUCAUGAAGAUUAGAAUAUAACUUCUCCUUGACAAGUAUUUUACGAGUUAGGGCUUAGGUAUAUUAUAUGGGCUUACCUAUGGGCUAUUGUUUUUCAUUCAAUAGUUUACAUAUGUGAAAGAGAAAGUAUAACAAUAUGCUUGUUAGACUAAAAUAGCUUUAGUUUUGUUAAUUUCAAAAACUUAGUAGGUGAUAAUUAUAACAUAGGUAUAGAAUCUUCAAAAAUAAAACAGUAGAUACAAAGCAGGUGUUAUUGGCCCGUCUUUAUAUAUAGAAAAUCGAUGGCAUGAUUCCUAGGAACAGAUCUUCGUAUGUGUUAUAGUUUCAAACUUUCCCAUACUGAACGAUCUAAAUAGGCCACCAUGUAUACCCUACGGAACAUUUUAUUUCGUUGGAUGAAUUUAGGGUGUAGGGGAGAAACUACCCAAUUAUGAGCUACUUACUGAAAACUAUCAUUAAUAGACAAUUGUAAGGAUAUUUAACAUUGCCAAAAUAAGGUUAAAGGUGCCCUCUAGUAGUACUUAGUCGAUAUUGUGAUACAAUGAAUGGUAUUAUAAACAUUUUUCUUUUUUCAUAUACUAUGGACAUUCCUCGAUGGCACCAAGCUGCAACUGGAAAGCGAUGAUCACACGGCAAAUAAAAUCGUGAAGACUGUAGCAGCCACGUCUAAGGAGGAUGAAUGUAUCCACAUUCAAUAUUUUUUAUUUAUUGUUUGUUUGAUAUGUAAAAAUGCACGUCAAUAAGGUAGCAAACUAUUAUUAACAGAGACCGGAAUUAUUGUGGCAUUCUUGAACUGUCAUAGAGAGUUCUCAUUUAUCGACUUCGGGUACACAUAUAUCGAUACAACGUAUAACACAAAAUAUUAAAAAGUUAUAAAGUUAA
Long non-coding RNA from Cydia pomonella (codling moth), 6043 nucleotides. RefSeq lists it as uncharacterized. NCBI's taxonomy places the organism in Eukaryota, Metazoa, Arthropoda, Insecta, Lepidoptera, Tortricidae. The transcript is spliced from 2 exons. The record is from RefSeq and is a predicted model, not a curated record.